This 407-nucleotide ribosomal RNA is filed under the name uncultured bacterium. RNAcentral describes it as "bacterial SSU rRNA". It matches the Rfam family "Bacterial small subunit ribosomal RNA", at positions 355 to 774 of the family's 1533-position model. The record is from RNAcentral.
UGGGGAAUAUUGCACAAUGGGCGCAAGCCUGAUGCAGCGACGCCGCGUGAGGGAUGACGGCCUUCGGGUUGUAAACCUCUUUCAAUAGGGACGAAGCGCAAGUGACGGUACCUAUAGAAGAAGGACCGGCCAACUACGUGCCAGCAGCCGCGGUAAUACGUAGGGUCCGAGCGUUGUCCGGAAUUACUGGGCGUAAAGAGCUCGUAGGUGGUUUGUCGCGUUGUUCGUGAAAACUCACAGCUUAACUGUGGGCGUGCAGUGGGUACGGGCAAACUAGAGUGCGGUAGGGGAGAUUGGAAUUCCUGGUGUAGCGGUGGAAUGCGCAGAUAUCAGGAGGAACACCGAUGGCGAAGGCAGAUCUCUGGGCCGUAACUGACGCUGAGGAGCGAAAGCAUGGGGAGCAAACA